GUUUGAUCCUGGCUCAGAACGAACGUUAGCGGCGCGCUUAACACAUGCAAGUCGUGCGAGAAAGGGAGCAAUCCCCGGUAAAGCGGCGCACGGGUGAGUAACACGUAGGUAACGUCCCCCAGGUGGUGGAUAACCUUCCGAAAGGAGGGCUAAUACAGCAUAAGACCACGGCCCCGUAAGGGGUUGAGGUCAAAGUCGGCCUCUAUUCAUAAGCUGACGCCAGGGGAUCGGCCUGCGGCCCAUCAGGUAGUUGGUAGGGUAAUGGCCUACCAAGCCUAAGACGGGUAGCUGGUCUGAGAGGAUGAUCAGCCACACUGGAACUGAGACACGGUCCAGACUCCUACGGGAGGCAGCAGUGGGGAAUCUUGCGCAAUGGGCGAAAGCCUGACGCAGCGACGCCGCGUGGGUGAUGAAGGCCUGGUUGUAAG
RNAcentral lists this ribosomal RNA (428 nucleotides) under uncultured bacterium. RNAcentral describes it as "bacterial SSU rRNA". It matches the Rfam family "Bacterial small subunit ribosomal RNA", at positions 11 to 429 of the family's 1533-position model. The record is from RNAcentral.